Molecule: unclassified non-coding RNA, 346 nt
Filed under: soil metagenome
Description: partial contains 5.8S ribosomal RNA, internal transcribed spacer 2, and large subunit ribosomal RNA
Rfam family: 5.8S ribosomal RNA (bases 1-120)
Source: RNAcentral
GAUGAAGAACGCAGCGAAAUGCGAUAAGUAAUGUGAAUUGCAGAAUUCAGUGAAUCAUCGAGUCUUUGAACGCACAUUGCGCCCCCUGGUAUUCCGGGGGGCAUGCCUGUCCGAGCGUCAUUGCUGCCCUCAAGCAGGGCUUGUGUGUUGGGCCGUCGUCCCCCUCCUAGGGGACGGGCCCGAAAGGCAGCGGCGGCACCGCGUCCGGUCCUCGAGCGUAUGGGGCUUCGUCACCCGCUCCGUAGGCCCGGCCGGCGCUUGCCGACGACCAUCAAUCUCUUUCUCCAGGUUGACCUCGGAUCAGGUAGGGAUACCCGCUGAACUUAAGCAUAUCAAAACCGGAGGA